Molecule: ribosomal RNA, 249 nt
Filed under: uncultured Actinomycetales bacterium
Lineage: Bacteria; Bacillati; Actinomycetota; Actinomycetes; Actinomycetales
Description: partial 16S ribosomal RNA
Rfam family: Bacterial small subunit ribosomal RNA
Source: RNAcentral
GGGUACUCGAGUGGCGAACGGGUGAGUAACACGUGAGUAACCUGCCCUUGACUUCGGGAUAACUUCAGGAAACUGGGGCUAAUACCGGAUAGGAAUCCUUGCUGCAUGGUGGGGGUUGGAAAGCUUUCGGCGGUUUUGGAUGGACUCGCGGCUUAUCAGCUUGUUGGUGGGGUAGUGGCUUACCAAGGCUUUGACGGGUAGCCGGCCUGAGAGGGCGACCGGCCACAUUGGGACUGAGAUACGGCCCAG